AGGACUUGCUCCUGGAUUCAGCGGCGGACGGGUGAGUAAUGCCUAGGAAUCUGCCUGGUAGUGGGGGACAACGUUUCGAAAGGAACGCUAAUACCGCAUACGUCCUACGGGAGAAAGCAGGGGACCUUCGGGCCUUGCGCUAUCAGAUGAGCCUAGGUCGGAUUAGCUAGUUGGUGAGGUAAUGGCUCACCAAGGCGACGAUCCGUAACUGGUCUGAGAGGAUGAUCAGUCACACUGGGAACUGAGACACGGUCCAGACUCCUACGGGAGGCAGCAGUGGGGAAUAUUGGACAAUGGGCGAAAGCCUGAUCCAGCCAUGCCGCGUGUGUGAAGAAGGUCUUCGGAUUGUAAAGCACUUUAAGUUGGGAGGAAGGGUUGUAGAUUAAUACUCUGCAAUUUUGACGUUACCGACAGAAUAAGCAACCGGCUAACUCUGUGCCAGCAGCCGCGGUAAUACAGARGGUGCAAGCGUUAAUCGGAAUUCUGGGCCGUAAAACCCCGUAGGGGGUUUGUUAAGUUGGAUGUGAAUCCCGGGC
This 536-nucleotide ribosomal RNA is filed under the name Pseudomonas sp. RS17. Its description in RNAcentral is "bacterial SSU rRNA". It matches the Rfam family "Bacterial small subunit ribosomal RNA", at positions 74 to 608 of the family's 1533-position model. Lineage: Bacteria; Pseudomonadati; Pseudomonadota; Gammaproteobacteria; Pseudomonadales; Pseudomonadaceae. The record is from RNAcentral.